RNAcentral lists this ribosomal RNA (497 nucleotides) under uncultured bacterium. Its description in RNAcentral is "partial 16S ribosomal RNA". It matches the Rfam family "Bacterial small subunit ribosomal RNA", at positions 28 to 507 of the family's 1533-position model. The record is from RNAcentral.
GACGAACGCUGGCGGCGUGCCUAAUACAUGCAAGUCGAGCGGACGGACGAGAGGCUUGCGUGUCUGACGGUUGCGGAAGGCGUGGGAAUGACACGUGGAUAACGGACCUAUAAGACGGAGAUAACUUCGAGAAAGGGUAGCUAAUAGCGCAGAAUAUUUUGAACCGCGUGGUUCAAAAGUGAAUGUCGGUCGUGCUGUCACGUAUAGAUGGAUCCGCGCUGCCUUAGCUAGUAGGUAAGUUAACGGCUUACCAAGGCAACGAUGCAUAGCCGACCGGAGAGGGUGAUCGGCUACCCUGGCACGGAGACACGGUCCCGACUCCUGCGGGAGGCCGCAGUAGUGAAUCCUACGCAAUGCACGAGAGCCGUACGGAGCAACGUGGCGGGAGUCAUGAAGGACUCCGGACCGUAAAGAUCUGUUAGGAGUGAAGAACAUAUGUGCAAUUAACUGGGCCGAUAUUGACGGUACCGAAUAAGAAAGCCCCGGCUAACUACGUG